This 20-nucleotide small RNA is filed under the name Brassica napus (rape). RNAcentral describes it as "PsRNA_60". Lineage: Eukaryota; Viridiplantae; Streptophyta; Magnoliopsida; Brassicales; Brassicaceae. The record is from RNAcentral.
CAAAUCCGGAGGUUUUCCCA